CAGCCGCCACGGGAAUACGGAGGGAGCUAGCGUUGUUCGGAAUUACUGGGCGUAAAGCGCGCGUAGGCGGUUACUCAAGUCAGAGGUGAAAGCCCGGGGCUCAACCCCGGAACUGCCUUUGAAACUAGGUGACUAGAAUCUUGGAGAGGUCAGUGGAAUUCCGAGUGUAGAGGUGAAAUUCGUAGAUAUUCGGAAGAACACCAGUGGCGAAGGCGACUGACUGGACAAGUAUUGACGCUGAGGUGCGAAAGCGUGGGGAGCAAACAGGAUUAGAUACCCGUGUAGUCCCUGUCUCUUAUAC
RNAcentral lists this ribosomal RNA (301 nucleotides) under uncultured bacterium. Its description in RNAcentral is "partial 16S ribosomal RNA". It matches the Rfam family "Bacterial small subunit ribosomal RNA", at positions 509 to 807 of the family's 1533-position model. The record is from RNAcentral.